RNAcentral lists this non-coding RNA (21 nucleotides) under Caenorhabditis elegans. The record is from RNAcentral. Lineage: Eukaryota; Metazoa; Nematoda; Chromadorea; Rhabditida; Rhabditidae.
UGGAAUUGGAAAUUGGACAGA